This 465-nucleotide ribosomal RNA is filed under the name Vreelandella stevensii. Its description in RNAcentral is "partial 16S ribosomal RNA". It matches the Rfam family "Bacterial small subunit ribosomal RNA", at positions 338 to 795 of the family's 1533-position model. Lineage: Bacteria; Pseudomonadati; Pseudomonadota; Gammaproteobacteria; Oceanospirillales; Halomonadaceae. The record is from RNAcentral.
CCUACGGGGGGCAGCAGUGGGGAAUAUUGGACAAUGGGGGCAACCCUGAUCCAGCCAUGCCGCGUGUGUGAAGAAGGCCCUCGGGUUGUAAAGCACUUUCAGUGAGGAAGAACGCCUGGUGGUUAAUACCCAUCAGGAAAGACAUCACUCACAGAAGAAGCACCGGCUAACUCCGUGUCAGCAGCCGCGGUAAUACGGAGGGUGCGAGCGUUAAUCGGAAUUACUGGGCGUAAAGCGCGCGUAGGUGGCUUGAUAAGCCGGUUGUGAAAGCCCCGGGCUCAACCUGGGAACGGCAUCCGGAACUGUCAAGCUAGAGUGCAGGAGAGGAAGGUAGAAUUCCCGGUGUAGCGGUGAAAUGCGUAGAGAUCGGGAGGAAUACCAGUGGCGAAGGCGGCCUUCUGGACUGACACUGACACUGAGGUGCGAAAGCGUGGGUAGCAAACAGGAUUAGAUACCCGGGUAGUC